RNAcentral lists this ribosomal RNA (408 nucleotides) under uncultured bacterium. RNAcentral describes it as "partial 16S ribosomal RNA". It matches the Rfam family "Bacterial small subunit ribosomal RNA", at positions 28 to 526 of the family's 1533-position model. The record is from RNAcentral.
GACGAACGCUGGCGGCGUGCUUAACACAUGCAAGUCGAACGAAGUGGCGAACGGGUGAGUAACGCGUAAUCAACUUGCCCUUCAGAGGGGAACAACAGUUGGAAACGACUGCUAAUACCGCAUACUGAAGGAGGGGAUUGAGUUGGAUUAGCUAGUUGGAGGGGUACCGGCCAACCAAGGCGAUGCUCAGUAGCCGGUCUGAGAUGAUGAACGGCCACAUUGGGACUGAGACACGGCCCAGACCCCUACGGGAGGCAGCAGUGGGGAAUCUGCCGCAAUGGACGAAAGUCUGACGGAGCAACGCCGCGUGAGUGAUGACGGCCUUCGGGUUGUAAAGCUCUGUUAAUCGGGACGCGGUACCGGAAUAGAAAGCCACGGCUAACUACGUGCCAGCAGCCGCGGUAAUUC